GAUGAACGCUAGCUACAGGCUUAACACAUGCAAGUCGAGGGACCGGCGCACGGGUGAGUAACACGUAUCCAACCUGCCCUUUACUCGGGGAUAGCCUUACGAAAGAAAGAUUAAUACCCGAUAUAAAGGAUGGGGAUGCGUUUCAUUAGGUUGUUGGUGAGGGAACGGCUAACCAAGCCUUCGAUGGAUCGGGGUGCUGAGAGGAAGGUCCCUCACAUUGGAGCUGGGCCACGUUCCAAACUCGUACGGGAGGCAGCAGUGGGGAAUAUUGGUCAAUGGGGUCUAGCCUGAACCAGCCAAGUAGCGUGAAGGAUGAAGGCUUAUGGGUCGUAAUCUUCUUUUAUAUAAGAAUAUGUAUUAUAUGAAUAAGGAUCGGCUAACUCCGUGCCAGCAGCCGCGGUAAUAC
Molecule: ribosomal RNA, 406 nt
Filed under: uncultured bacterium
Lineage: Bacteria
Description: partial 16S ribosomal RNA
Rfam family: Bacterial small subunit ribosomal RNA
Source: RNAcentral